Molecule: non-coding RNA, 1913 nt
Organism: Lonchura striata (white-rumped munia)
Lineage: Eukaryota; Metazoa; Chordata; Aves; Passeriformes; Estrildidae
Source: RefSeq, a predicted model, not a curated record
UGAUAUCCUCCAGCGCCGAGCAACCUUCGUCCUCUCAGGACUCCCUUGGUAGUCACAGGGAAGAUCCUGGUCCCCGGGAAACACGGCUGCUGCGGAGGGAGAGGCAGAUAAACUACAGAUCCCGGCAUUCUCCGGCAGGCAGCACCUGCGGCAGUCCCUGCACGCCGUGGGGGAGGUGGGGGUGAGGAUGAGGAUGGAGGGCAGGGAGGAGAUGCAGGACGCUGUGGGGCUACGCUGCACCUGGGACAUUCCGCCACCCGCUGGCACCCAGGCCAAGUGGGUGAGGCUCAAUGUCGGGGGCACCGUCUUCCUCACCACCAGGCAGACCCUGUGUCGGGAGCAGAAAUCUUUCCUGUGUCGUUUGUGCCAGGGCGAGGAGCUGCAGUCGGACCGGGAUGAAACUGGUGCAUACCUAAUAGAUCGGGAUCCCACUUACUUUGGACCGAUUCUGAAUUUCCUCCGUCAUGGGAAGCUGGUCCUGGAUAAAGAUAUGGCUGAAGAGGGGAUCCUUGAAGAGGCCGAGUUCUAUAACAUUGGUCCUUUGAUCCGAAUAAUCAAGGAUCGAAUGGAGGAGAAGGACUACACAGUGACACAGGUGCCUCCUAAGCAUGUCUACCGUGUGCUGCAGUGCCAGGAAGAGGAGCUCACUCAGAUGGUUUCCACUAUGUCAGAUGGAUGGCGCUUUGAGCAGCUUGUGAACAUUGGCUCAUCCUAUAAUUAUGGGAAUGAGGAUCAGACAGAAUUCCUGUGUGUGGUCUCCAAGGAAUUGUACAACUCCCCCAAUGGCCUGAGCUCUGAGGCCAGCCACAAAGCCAAGAACACAGAGGAGGACCUGGAGGAGGAAGAGCAGGAGGUGGAGGAGGAGGCAGAGGCAGAAGCAGAAGCAGAGGAGAAAGGUGCAGCAAAUCCCUGAGGAAAAUGAUAAAAAUAACCCCCCAGGCAUAGACUCGUCCACCUUUCUGACUGUCCAUCUAUUCGGGAUUGUGCUAAACUCUCUUCCUGUGGACCCUCCCUCCUGCUCCCUUCCGUGUCCAUCCCAGCACUGUCAUCUACCUCCCACAUUGCCCCACUUGCCAGCCUCCAGCAUCCUUCCCUCUGCUCUCUUUGUCCCUCAGGGCUCAGAGUGGUCUCUGCCCAGGGCCCUGUUUCUCUCUGCUCCUCACUUUUCCUCCUCUGCAGCUGUUACAAGCCAGAGAUCUGAGGAUGUGAUCUGAACACUCUGCUCCAGCCUUUUCAUUUUUUGUUUAUAUCUUUAUUUUUGUACUGCAGUCUAUGGCAGUCCCUUGUCCCACAGUGAUGCCCCUGGCCCCUUUCACUCUUCACAUGCAGCCAUUUUUUUUUACCAAUUCAACUCGGAGGCCUGAGCUUCCAGCCCUGGAGGAGGGCAGAUGCUCCAUAGAGCUCCCGAGCUGCUGUAGGAGUGGGAGCCCACAGCCCCUUCCUAUGCCUGGCAGUUUGGCUUUCCUUAAUGUCACAGUGGCCCCUGGUGGGGACAUCAGCGAUCAGCCACUGCAGCCUACGGUCCCUUCCUGAGCACCCUGGAUGCAAUUGAGGACCGAGGUGGUGGCAGCUGUGGAAGAACCAGCCCUUGCCCUUUCACUGUUGCAGGCAACUGGUGUGGGCUUGUGGCCUGGGGACAAAUGCAGAGCCAUCGUCCUUUCCUGGGUCACCUGUAUUGCUCGGAGGUGUCCCUGUGCUGGGUAUCACGUUCCUUGGUGCCUCCCUCCCUGUCCCCCAAAGCAGCUCUGUGCCAGCAGUGUGAGGAGGAGAAUGAUGUGCUGCCUGGGUACCAGGAACAUGCUGGUACCUGAUGUUGUCAGCCAGCACCAAGCAGAUCCCAGUUUUGGGGAGCGGGGUGUUUGCUUCACUGCUGUGUCUGAAGACUCCUGAAUAAAAUUCACAGUCUGUUCCUC